Molecule: ribosomal RNA, 253 nt
Filed under: uncultured bacterium
Lineage: Bacteria
Description: partial 16S ribosomal RNA
Rfam family: Bacterial small subunit ribosomal RNA
Source: RNAcentral
UACGAAGGGUGCAAACGUUGCUCGGAAUCAUUGGGCGUAAAGCGCACGUAGGCGGCUCCAAAAGUCGGAUGUGAAAUCCCUGGGCUCAACCGAGGAAGUGCAUCCGAAACUGCGGAGCUUGAGUAUGGAAGAGGGUCGCGGAAUUCCCGGUGUAGAGGUGAAAUUCGUAGAUAUCGGGAGGAACACCGGUGGCGAAGGCGGCGACCUGGGUCGAGACUGACGCUGAGGCGCGAAAGCGUGGGGAGCAAACAGG